Molecule: ribosomal RNA, 556 nt
Filed under: Alkalibacterium sp. M16-C12
Lineage: Bacteria; Bacillati; Bacillota; Bacilli; Lactobacillales; Carnobacteriaceae
Description: bacterial SSU rRNA
Rfam family: Bacterial small subunit ribosomal RNA
Source: RNAcentral
GUUGUCCGGCUCUGAGCUUGAUCCUGGCUCAGGACGAACGCUGGCGGUAUGCCUAAUACAUGCAAGUCGAACGCUGAAGCACUCUGCUUGCAGAGUGUGGAUGAGUGGCGAACGGGUGAGUAACACGUGGGGAACCUGCCCAUAAGAGGGGGAUAACAUCCGGAAACGGGUGCUAAUACCGCAUAGGUGAUCAUAGCGCAUGCUUAGAUCAUUAAAGAUGGCUUCGGCUAUCGCUUAUGGAUGGCCCCGCGGCGUAUUAGCUAGUUGGUGAGGUAAUGGCUCACCAAGGCUGUGAUACGUAGCCGACCUGAGAGGGUGAUCGGCCACACUGGAACUGAGACACGGUCCAGACUCCUACGGGAGGCAGCAGUAGGGAAUCUUCCACAAUGGGCGAAAGCCUGAUGGAGCAAUACCGCGUGAGUGAAGAAGGUCUUCGGAUCGUAAAGCUCUGUUGUUAGAGAAGAACAAGAGGUGUAGUAACUGGCACCUCCUUGACGGUAUCUAACCAGAAAGUCACGGCUAACUACGUGCCAGCAGCCGCUGUAAUCGUACGCUG